Molecule: unclassified non-coding RNA, 1537 nt
Filed under: Hevea brasiliensis (rubber tree)
Lineage: Eukaryota; Viridiplantae; Streptophyta; Magnoliopsida; Malpighiales; Euphorbiaceae
Source: RNAcentral
UUCAGUUGCAAGGUUUAUACAGAAUGGUGGUUCAUUUGUAAACUAUUAUAUGUACCAGGGAGGAACUAAUUUUGGCCGGACUGCUGGCGGUCCCUUCAUUGCUACUAGCUAUGAUUAUGAUGCCCCUAUUGAUGAAUAUGGUAUGUAAUGUAGAGUAGGUUGGGAUAACGUCCUCAUAAUUAUCAUUAAUUAUGCAUAUUAAUGGCUCUACCUACUAAACAGGAGUAUAAUACGUAUUUAGAGCAAGGUAUAGUUCAGCUGGCAGCAACUGAAAGUGUUGGCUAAAUACAUAUCAGGACAAAACCAUAGAUGCAAAUGAAUAUGUAGCCCAAGUGAGCUGAUUAAAAUUACUAUUUUUAUGCCAGGACUAACAAGGGAUCCAAAGUGGGGACACUUGAGAGAUUUGCAUAAAGCCAUUAAGUUAUGUGAACCUGCUUUAGUCUCUGCAGAUCCCACAGUAACAUCACUUGGGAGUAAUCAAGAGGCUCAUGUGUUCAAGUCAAAGUCAUCCUGUGCAGCCUUCCUUGCAAACUAUGACACUAAAUACUCUGUGAAAGUGACUUUUGGCAGUGGGCAAUAUGACCUCCCACCUUGGUCUAUCAGCAUUCUUCCUGAUUGUAAAACUGCAGUUUUUAACACUGCAAGGCUUGGUGCCCAAAGCACACAAAUGAAGAUGACACCUGUUGGCAGUGCAUUUUCUUGGCAAUCAUACAUUGAAGAAGCUGCUUCUUCUUAUACUGAUGAUACAACUAGACUGGAUGGAUUGUUGGAGCAAAUAAAUAUCACGAGGGAUGCUACAGACUAUCUGUGGUAUAUGACAGACGUCAAGAUAGAUCCCGAUGAAGGAUUUUUGAGAAGUGGACAGGAUCCCAUCCUCACAAUAUUUUCAGCUGGGCAUUCUUUGCAAGUUUUCAUCAAUGGUCAACUCUCAGGAACUGUGUAUGGGUCAUUAAACGAUCCUAAGUUAACAUUUAGCCAGAAUGUGAAGUUGAUAGCUGGUAUUAACAAGAUUUCUUUGUUAAGUGCUGCCGUAGGUCUACCGAAUGUUGGCCUGCACUUUGAAAGCUGGAAUGCUGGAGUUCUAGGCCCAGUCACAUUGAAGGGUUUAAAUGAGGGGACAAGGGACUUAUCAGGGUGGAACUGGUCUUACAAGAUUGGUCUUAAAGGUGAAGAAUUAAACCUUCAUACUGUUACUGGGAGUUCAUCUGUUGAUUGGAUGGAAGGAACUGUAUUGGCUAAAAAACAACCAUUAACAUGGUACAAGACUACUUUUGAUGCACCAGAAGGCAAUGAGCCCUUAGCUUUAGAUAUGAGUAGUAUGGGAAAAGGUCAGGUAUGGGUAAAUGGUCGAAGUGUAGGACGCCACUGGCCUGGAUAUAUAGCUCGUGGUAGUUGUGGCGAUUGUAACUAUGCUGGAACUUUUGAUGAUAAGAAAUGCAGAAGUAAUUGUGGAGAGCCCUCCCAAAGAUGGUACCAUGUUCCACGCUCAUGGCUGAACCCAAGUGGGAACCUAUUGGUUGUGUUUGAAGAAUGGGGU